Molecule: ribosomal RNA, 459 nt
Filed under: uncultured bacterium
Lineage: Bacteria
Description: partial 16S ribosomal RNA
Rfam family: Bacterial small subunit ribosomal RNA
Source: RNAcentral
CCUACGGGUGGCAGCAGUGAGGAAUAUUGGUCAAUGGUCGGGAGACUGAACCAGCCAAGUCGCGUGAGGGAUGAAGGUACAGAGUAUUGUAAACCUCUUUUGUCAGGGAAUAAAGGCCGGGACGUGUCCCCGGUUGAGUGUACCUGAAGAAAAAGCAUCGGCUAACUCCGUGCCAGCAGCCGCGGUAAUACGGAGGAUGCGAGCGUUAUCCGGAUUUAUUGGGUUUAAAGGGUUCGCAGGCGGUCUGUUAGGUCAGCGGUAAAAGCCCGGGGCUCAACCCCGGCCCGCCGUUGAAACUGGCAGUCUCGAGUUGGAGAGAGGUAUGCGGAAUGCGCGGUGUAGCGGUGAAAUGCAUAGAUAUCGCGCAGAACUCCGAUUGCGAAGGCAGCAUGCCGGCUCCACACUGACGCUGAGGCACGAAAGCGUGGGUAUCGAACAGGAUUAGAUACCCCUGUAGUC